AGGACAUUUCAUCUUAAUGGUGUGACCAAAGAUUGACGUUCUCUACAGAAUGCCAUGGUCACUCACUAAUGCUGUGUUUUCCCUAGGAGAUAUAAAA
RNAcentral lists this small nucleolar RNA (97 nucleotides) under Castor canadensis (American beaver). Its description in RNAcentral is "Small nucleolar RNA SNORA25 (ENSCCNG00000002832.1)". The record is from RNAcentral. Lineage: Eukaryota; Metazoa; Chordata; Mammalia; Rodentia; Castoridae.